Small nuclear RNA from Callithrix jacchus (white-tufted-ear marmoset), 105 nucleotides. NCBI's taxonomy places the organism in Eukaryota, Metazoa, Chordata, Mammalia, Primates, Cebidae. The record is from Ensembl.
GCUCGCUUUGGCGGCACAUAUACUAAACUCGGAAUGAUACAGAGAAGAUUAGCAUGGCCUCUGCGCAAGAAUGACAUGCAAAUUUGUGAAGUGGUCCACGUAAAA